RNAcentral lists this ribosomal RNA (430 nucleotides) under bacterium. Its description in RNAcentral is "partial 16S ribosomal RNA". It matches the Rfam family "Bacterial small subunit ribosomal RNA", at positions 355 to 776 of the family's 1533-position model. The record is from RNAcentral.
UGGGGAAUAUUGGACAAUGGGCGAAAGCCUGAUCCAGCCAUGCCGCGUGUGUGAAGAAGGCCUUUUGGUUGUAAAGCACUUUAAGCGAGGAGGAGGCUACUUGGAUUAAUACUCUAGGAUAGUGGACGUUACUCGCAGAAUAAGCACCGGCUAACUCUGUGCCAGCAGCCGCGGUAAUACAGAGGGUGCGAGCGUUAAUCGGAUUUACUGGGCGUAAAGCGUGCGUAGGCGGCUUUUUAAGUCGGAUGUGAAAUCCCUGAGCUUAACUUAGGAAUUGCAUUCGAUACUGGGAAGCUAGAGUAUGGGAGAGGAUGGUAGAAUUCCAGGUGUAGCGUUGAAAUGCGUAGAGAUCUGGAGGAAUACCGAUGGCGAAGGCAGCCAUCUGGCCUAAUACUGACGCUGAGGUACGAAAGCAUGGGGAGCAAACAGG